GACGAACGCUGGCGGCGCGCUUAACACAUGCAAGUCGAACGGAAAGGCCUGCUUUCCCUUGUGGAUUGCGGGUACUCGAGUGGCGAACGGGUGAGUAACACGUGAGUGAUCUGCCCCCAACUUGGGUAUAAGCCUGGGAAACUGGGUCUAAUUCCCGAUAGGACUGCAGGGUGGUGCCUGUGGUGGAAAACGAUUUUCUAGUGGUUGGGGAUGAGCUCGCGGCCUAUCAGCUUGUUGGUGGGGUAAUGGCCUACCAAGGCGGCGACGGGUAGCCGGCCUGGGAGGGUGGACGGCCACAUUGGGACUGGGCGACGGCCCAGACUCCUACGGGAGGCAGCAGUGGGGAAUAUUGCACAAUGGGCGGAAGCCUGAUGCAGCGACGCCGCGUGGGGGAUGACGGCCUUCGGGUUGUAAACUCCUUUCGACCGCGAGGAAGCCACCUGGUUGGAAGGGUGGUGACGGUAGUGGUAGAAGAAACACCGGCUAACUACGU
Molecule: ribosomal RNA, 493 nt
Filed under: uncultured bacterium
Lineage: Bacteria
Description: partial 16S ribosomal RNA
Rfam family: Bacterial small subunit ribosomal RNA
Source: RNAcentral